Daucus carota subsp. sativus is the source of this 4055-nucleotide long non-coding RNA. RefSeq lists it as uncharacterized. The transcript has 2 exons. Lineage: Eukaryota; Viridiplantae; Streptophyta; Magnoliopsida; Apiales; Apiaceae. The record is from RefSeq and is a predicted model, not a curated record.
UUCAAUAUUCUAGCCCAAAAGGAACAGUACACCUGGUACAAAUCCGGAGGAAGCAAUAAUUCGAGUAGAGAUAUUUUACCUACGCGUACAGAACACGUGGAUAAAAUAAGCUUUAUCAUGGAUCAAGUUGAGAUUCUGAAGGACCGCACUCACAGGUGGUAAUAAUAAUGCAAGUAGUAUGAACCGUGUCAAUAAAGCAGACGUCCUCUGUUAAAGUAUGUCGGCCGGUUUCAAGAUUCUUAUCUUACUUUUCCAAAAGUUGGGAUAAGAAUAUUUACUUUUCAGAAAGAUGCUUGUCAGUUUGUAAAAGUGGGAUGAAUUAUUAGCCCACUCAGUCUUAAUAGCUUGUCCUUUGUAUGACUCAACGCUUAUACGCGUUAUCAAAAGAUAGUGGAGGAAUCUUAAUAAUUCGUCGAUGGGGCCCAAUGAGCACCCAGAAUUAUUGAUUUCUUGGCUAUAAAUAAGUGUGUAAUUCAUAGAGUUGCAGCAUCGAGAACUCAUCUCAAAUACUACUCUCUCAAUCUGUAAAAUACCAGAAAAAUAAAAGGUUUGUUAUAUACUAUAUUUACUAUUAAGCCUGUUCUUUAGUGCAAGACUUGUGAACAGCCGAUCCCCUUUUGCCGAUCCCCUUACCCCCCUUGGUAUCAGAGCGAGGUUCAUCAAUCAAGAUAAUGGCUGCCUAAGCCACCCUUAAGGAGGCUGGCACUCUAAGUAUUCAUAAUCACUUGGCUACUGCAGCAGUCCAACUCAUCCUAAAAAGACGAUCAACGGUAGAAGAAAUAAAGAAGCACAGUAAAUCCAGCAGUUCAGGGAGAAGUCAAAACAAAAGGGCAGACCCAAUUAGUAAGGCAGAGGAGAGUAAGACCUGAAGUGGGUGCAUGAGUCAGACAAGCUCUAGGAAGCAGGAUAAGCUGGUGCCUAUUUAUGCCAAGCUGCUGAAUGUCUCAAAGGUUCGAGGAGGCUAUUAAGAAGUGAUAAGGAAUGUCAAGCGGACCGGAAUAUGAAACAGAGUUUGAUACUAAUAGACGAGGCUAUGGAGGAGUUACGAGACCAAACUGGAAGCCCAGUUUCGAAAGCCCAUUUAGACGAAAUAUCCCUUAUGGCCCAGAAGUUGUCAUGGACCCUAAUGUCAACAACCAUCUAUCCAGCCUCAGGCAAACAUUCAGAAGCCCAGUAUCCAUUCAAGUCAGAGAUCAAUUGGAGGAACAAGCCUGAGAAGCAGAGCAAAAAGCAGCCCAAGAAGCCCAAAAGGCUUUGGCCCGGUAGUUCAAUAUUCUAGCCCAAAAGGAACAGUACACCUGGUACAAAUCCGGAGGAAGCAAUAAUUCGAGUAGAGAUAUUUUACCUACGCGUACAGAACACGUGGAUAAAAUAAGCUUUAUCAUGGAUCAAGUUGAGAUUCUGAAGGACCGCACUCACAGGUGGUAAUAAUAAUGCAAGUAGUAUGAACCGUGUCAAUAAAGCAGACGUCCUCUGUUAAAGUAUGUCGGCCGGUUUCAAGAUUCUUAUCUUACUUUUCCUAAAGUUGGGAUAAGAAUAUUUACUUUUCAGAAAGAUGCUUGUCAGUUUGUAAAAGUGGGAUGAAUUAUUAGCCCACUCAGUCUUAAUAGCUUGUCCUUUGUAUGACUCAACGCUUAUACGCGUUAUCAAAAGAUAGUGGAGGAAUCUUAAUAAUUCGUCAAUGGGGCCCAAUGAGCACCCGGAAUUAUUGAUUUCUUAGCUAUAAAUAAGUGUGUAAUUCAUAGAGUUGCAGCAUCGAGAACUCAUCUCAAAUACUACUCUCUCAAUCUGUAAAAUACCAGAAAAAUAAAAGGUUUGUUAUAUACUAUAUUUACUAUUAAGCCUGUUCUUUAGUGCAAGACUUGUGAACAGCCGAUCCCCUUUUGCCGAUCCCCUUACCCCCCUUGGUAUCAGAGCGAGGUUCAUCAAUCAAGAUAAUGGCUGCCUAAGCCACCCUUAAGGAGGCUGGCACUCUAAGUAUUCAUAAUCACUUGGCUACUGCAGCAGUCCAACUCAUCCUAAAAAGACGAUCAACGGUAGAAGAAAUAAAGAAGCACAGUAAAUCCAGCAGUUCAGGGAGAAGUCAAAACAAAAGGGCAGACCCAAUUAGUAAGGCAGAGGAGAGUAAGACCUGAAGUGGGUGCAUGAGUCAGACAAGCUCUUGCAAUACUGUAUUCUAGACUAAAGAAAAAUCCUCAGCCAUGGACUGAAGAACAUUCUCUAGCAGUAAGGAGAAUAAAAGCAAAGGUAAAAUGUUUACCUUGUUUAUCUUUGGCAAAUCCAAAGUAUUUUAAAAUUGUUGAAACAGAUGCUUCUAAUAUAGGCUAUGGUGGAAUUUUAAAACAAAUAAAUCCAAACACUUCAAAAGAAGAGCUUGUUAGAUUUACUUGGGGAAAAUGGAAUUUCACUCAGUCAAAAUACUCGACUAUUAAGAAAGAAAUGCUUUCUAUUAUCAAGUGCAUCUCUAAAUUUCAGGAUGACUUAUUAAAUAAAAAAUUCUUGCUUAGAAUUGAUUGUAGUUCUGCAAAAUCUAUAAUAGAAAAGGAUGUCAAGAAUCUUGUAUCCAAGCAAAUAUUUGCAGGCUGGCAAGCUCAGCUUUCAGUCUUUGAAUUUGAUAUUCAAUACAUCAAAGGAGAAAAUAAUUCUCUUGCUGAUUAUCUAACCCGCGAAUUUUUACAGGGUGAAUGAGUACCCCUAAUAGGGGCAGAGGCCGCGGCUAUGGCCGAGGGCGAGGACGUGGGAGUAACAAUUUGCUACCCCAUACAGAAUCAACUGUUCCUCUAAUUGGAGACUGGACAGUAUACCGAAAUAAUCGGGUAAGAAAUGUGCAACAAUUGCCUGCACCUCCUAAAAAGGAAGAUAUACCUUCCUCAUCAUCAAAAACAAUGACUUUUAAAGAGGCAGCAAUUACUGAAACUCCUCCAGAUCAAGAAUACUUUGAAAAUCCGAUUACAAAAAAUAUUCUGUAUCUUGAAGAAGAAGAUAUUCUUAUGACUCCAAAUGAUGGAUGGUCAUUGAAAACCAGGUACCUUGAAAAUAGAGGGUAUGCUGCUUUGCAAAAUCAGCCCAGAUUAUAUCUGGAAAUUCUGUUGACAAUUACCGAAUCGGUAACAAUUGUUCAUCAUUAUCAGAAUAAUAACCCUGAAAGUUUUAUAAACUUCAGCAAAUGCCACAUCAACAAGGUAUUAACUCCCAGAGAAUGGGGAUUGAAUCCUAAUGAAGGUAAAGCAAUAAAAAUUGCUGAAGGUAAAUAUAUUUAUUUUAAUUACUGGGAUUAUAUCCAAGCUUAGUCUAAAGCAUUUUAUUAUCAAAAUCCCAAGAAUAAACAUUCUUGGUUUUUCUCAGUAAACCCUGAAGUGCUUAAUAAGCACAUACCAAAUUGGUUUUAUGAAUGGUGGUCAAAAUUUGGCCCUUCUCUUGAAAUUCUACCAGAAAAAAUUAUGAAUUUAUAUAACUCCUGGUGUGAUAACAGCCCUCUGGUAACACGCAUUAAAUCUAAAAGAUUAAUUUUUGGACAAUGUCCUUUCAUAUUUUUCUCAAAAUUUCAAAUUCCUUGGAUUUGGAGAUGGACAAUUUCUAUCGAUAAAGACAAGCUAGGAAUUCCUCUGCUACAAAGGAAUUUCUUCUAUAAAUGGUGGACGAAGAUGAGUUCUGAAGAUAUUCAGAAGAUAGAGUCCAACAUCAAGAUGGUAAUAAACCAUGAUGAAAAACAAAUCCAUGAUGGACAAAGUUCACAGCAGACUCCAAUGGAGGACCUGAAAACUUAUUUUCAGAAAAAGUUCCCUAAUGAAUCAGAUCAAAAGAUCAUGAAGAGGGUUUUAGACCAUAUGAAGAAUCAAUGCUUCAGUACAUUUUCAUUUCCUAAUGAAGAUCAGUCAAUGAAAACGGCAUCAUCACCAGGAUCAAUGGAUUCUUAUAAUUCUUUUAAUGUUUUAGCAGGUGAAUCUCAGGAAGAAGAAUAUACUCCUACUCCUGAAGAUUUCUGGGAUGGUCUAAUUGCAUCCCUUACAACUUCAAAUUUUAAGGGGAAAGGAAAGGAUCCAGAAUUAUAAUGA